UACGGAGGGUGCAAGCGUUAUCCGGAUUCACUGGGUUUAAAGGGUGCGUAGGUGGGCUAGUAAGUCAGUGGUGAAAUCCCUCAGCUUAACUGGGGAACUGCGUCUGAUACUGGAUGGCUUGAGUUUGGGAGAGGGAUGCGGAAUUCCAGGUGUAGCGGUGAAAUGCGUAGAUAUCUGGAGGAACACCGGUGGCGAAGGCGGCAUCCUGGACCAACACUGACACUGAGGAGCGAAAGCCAGGGGAGCAAACGGG
Molecule: ribosomal RNA, 253 nt
Filed under: uncultured bacterium
Lineage: Bacteria
Description: partial 16S ribosomal RNA
Rfam family: Bacterial small subunit ribosomal RNA
Source: RNAcentral